This 1119-nucleotide ribosomal RNA is filed under the name Bacillus sp. R13-7. RNAcentral's name for it is "bacterial SSU rRNA". It matches the Rfam family "Bacterial small subunit ribosomal RNA", at positions 37 to 1101 of the family's 1533-position model. The record is from RNAcentral. Lineage: Bacteria; Bacillati; Bacillota; Bacilli; Caryophanales; Bacillaceae.
AGGGGGCGGGCCUACCAUGGCAAGUCGAGGGUUGGAUUAAGACCUUGGUCUUAUGAAGUUAGAGGCGGACGGGUGACUAGUCGUGGGUAACCUGCCCCUAAGACUGGCUUAACUCCGGGAAACCUGGGCUAAUACCGGGUAACAUUUUGAACCGUUGGAUUCGAACUUGACAGGUUACUUCGGUUGUCACUUAUGGAUGGACCCGCGUCACAAUACCUAGCUGGUGAGGUAACGGCUCCCCACGGCCUGGAUGCGUAACCGACCUGAGACGCCGAUCGGACACACUGGGACUGAAACACGGACCAGACUCCUACGGGAGGCACCAGUAUGGAAUCUUCCGCAAUGGACGAAUGUCUGACGAAACCUCUCCCCGUGAAUGAUAAAGGCUUUCGGGUCGGAAAACUCUGCUGUUAUAAAAUAACGACUGCUAGCUGAAUAAUCUGGCACCUUGACGGUACCUAACCAGAGAGCCACGGCUAACUACGUGCCAGCAGCCGCGGUAAUACGUAGGUGGCACGCGUUAUCCGGACUUAUUGGUCCUUUAGCGAGCGCACGUGGAUUCUGAGGUCUGAUGUUGAAGCCCUCGGCUCAUCCGUGUAAGGUCAUUGGAUACUGGGAAACUUGAGUGCGGAAGAGGAAAGUGGAUGUCCAUGUGUAGAGGCGAAAAUGCCUACAGAUAGGGAGAGAACACCAGUGUAGAAAGCGAGUUUCUGCUCUGUAACUGACACUGAUGCUCGAUGGCGUGGGGAUCACACAGGAUUACAUACCCUGCUAGUCCACGCCUUAGACUAGGAGUGCUAGCUGCUAGAGUGAUUCCGCCCUUUAGUGCUGGAGGUCACCGCAUUACGCACUCCGCCUUGUGGGUAUUACUUCCACCAGCCUGAAACUCCAUAUAGCCAUUGACUUGGCGUCGCGCACGAUGGCGGUGCAGCAUGAUGGGUUUACCUUCGCAUGCAACUGGAAUACACAUACCGAGGCUGCUUGGCAUCCUCUGACCAUCCUGAGCAGAGUAGUGGCUUGCUUCUUUCGGGCAGCAGACGUUGACACGUCGCUGCAUGGUUUGGUCUGUCAGCUUCGUGGUCUGGACAUGUUUGGAGUGACUCCCGGCAACAAGCGCAA